Molecule: ribosomal RNA, 108 nt
Filed under: uncultured bacterium
Lineage: Bacteria
Description: partial 16S ribosomal RNA
Rfam family: Bacterial small subunit ribosomal RNA
Source: RNAcentral
AAGGAUGAAGGCCUUCUGGGUUGUAAACUUCUUUUAUCUGGGAAAGAAAACUAAGGUUUCUACUUUAGCCGACGGUACCAGAGGAAUAAGCACCGGCUAACUCCGUGC